CCGAUGGCGACCGGCGCACGGUGAGUAACACGUAUCCAACCUGCCGAUGACUCGGGGAUAGCCUUUCGAAAGAAAGAUUAAUACCCGAUGGCAUAGUUCUUCCGCAUGGUGGAACUAUUAAAGAAUUUCGGUCAUCGAUGGGGAUGCGUUCCAUUAGGUUGUUGGCGGGGUAACGGCCCACCAAGCCUUCGAUGGAUAGGGGUUCUGAGAGGAAGGUCCCCCACAUUGGAACUGAGACACGGUCCAA
Molecule: ribosomal RNA, 247 nt
Filed under: uncultured bacterium
Lineage: Bacteria
Description: partial 16S ribosomal RNA
Rfam family: Bacterial small subunit ribosomal RNA
Source: RNAcentral